RNAcentral lists this ribosomal RNA (471 nucleotides) under uncultured Gram-positive bacterium. RNAcentral's name for it is "bacterial SSU rRNA". It matches the Rfam family "Bacterial small subunit ribosomal RNA", at positions 28 to 509 of the family's 1533-position model. The record is from RNAcentral.
GACGAACGCUGGCGGCGUGCUUAACACAUGCAAGUCGAACGGAAUCCAUGGUGUAGCAAUACACCGGAAGAUUUAGUGGCGAACGGGUGAGGAUCACGUGAGAAACGUGCCCCAGACUCUGGGAUAACAAUUGGAAACGGUUGCUAAUACCGGAUGACGUCGGAGAAUCGCAUGAUUCACUGACGAAAGAUAUUUCGGUUUGGGAGCGUCUCGCGGCCUACCAGCUUGUUGGUGGGGUAAUGGCCUACCAAGGCAACGACGGGUAGCUGGUCUGAGAGGAUGAUCAGCCACACUGGGACUGAGACACGGCCCAGACUCCUACGGGAGGCAGCAGUGGGGAAUCUUGCGCAAUGGGCGGAAGCCUGACGCAGCAACGCCGCGUGCGGGAUGAAGGCCUUCGGGCUGUAAACCGCUUUCAGCAGGAACGAAAAUGACGGUACCUGCAGAAGAAGGAGCGGCCAACUACGUGCC